UGAACUUUUGCUUACAGGGUCAAGGAAGGCUGUGCCUUUCUGAAGUGUGAAAUCUGUUAGUUGCAAGUCAUGCAAAUAGGACUGAGAUGAGCGUGGGGAUUGGUGGAAUGGCUGCUGACAUCACAAAGACUCUGGUGACACUCUAAAGCUAGGAAAGACAGUGAUAUUUCUGCAUACAGUUUCAAAGAGAAACAAUACUGGCUGAAGACUUGCAGGACCGCCAACUGCUAUCAGAUACUUUCACCUCUCAGUUUCUCUUCAGCGAUGCCAACAAAUCAAUUCAGAAGGAAAAGGAAGAGUCCCAGAUGAAAUGAUAGAAGAUUGUGCAAAACAGGCUGGAAGUGCCAAACACAGACCUGAGGUACAAUUGCUGUUUCUAACAUCAGAAUUACCUGGUUAAAAUUCAGCUGCUCUGUGAAGCAACUAAAUCUGCUCAACACCAUCUGGCAGCUACGAAGUGGGGGGCAGGGUGAUCUACUUUCUGCACAGGUAUAAUUAACUGAUAUUUCACUAGCAGAAUGCAGUAGAGACAUGAAAUACACAUCCCAUUUAAAGCACUGACAUUCUGUGACAUAACUAUAUGAGACCUUCAGUGUUUCAGUUUUAAUAUUUCUGAAGGCUUUGAUUUCAUUAGUGUAGCCAGAGAAAGUGGUAGAAGGGGCAGCCUGUCAUGUCUACAAUAAAGUCUAUUAAAUAUAAA
Molecule: long non-coding RNA, 700 nt
Organism: Podarcis raffonei (Aeolian wall lizard)
Lineage: Eukaryota; Metazoa; Chordata; Lepidosauria; Squamata; Lacertidae
Exons: 2
Source: RefSeq, a predicted model, not a curated record